GACGGAGGAUGCAAGCGUUAUCCGGAAUGAUUGGGCGUAAAGCGUCCGCAGGUGGCAGUUCAAGUCUGCUGUCAAAGACCGGGGCUUAACCUCGGAAAGGCAGUGGAAACUGAACAGCUAGAGUAUGGUAGGGGCAGAGGGAAUUCCUGGUGUAGCGGUGGAAUGCGUAGAGAUCCGGAAGAACACCGGUGGCGAAGGCGGUCUGCUGGGCAGUUACUGACGCUGAGGCACGAAGGCCAGGGGAGCAAACGGG
This 253-nucleotide ribosomal RNA is filed under the name uncultured bacterium. Its description in RNAcentral is "partial 16S ribosomal RNA". It matches the Rfam family "Bacterial small subunit ribosomal RNA", at positions 524 to 776 of the family's 1533-position model. The record is from RNAcentral.